RNAcentral lists this ribosomal RNA (424 nucleotides) under uncultured bacterium. RNAcentral's name for it is "partial 16S ribosomal RNA". It matches the Rfam family "Bacterial small subunit ribosomal RNA", at positions 359 to 776 of the family's 1533-position model. The record is from RNAcentral.
AGUGUUGUACUAUGGGCGCAAGCCUGCUCCAGCCAUGCCGCGCGAGUGAAGAAGGNCUNNGGUUUNGNAAGCACUUUCGGUCGNNNNNAAAUCGCGCCGACAAAUACCCUGCGCUGAUGCCGGUCUCUUCACAAGAAAUCCCGCCCUACUAAGUGCAGUGCACCCGGGUAAUACGUAGGUGGCGAGCGUGAAUCGGAAGUACUGGGCGUAAAGCGUGCGCAGGCGGUUGGGAAAGACGGGCGUGAAAUCCCCGGGCUUAACCUGGGAACUGCGAUUGUGACUGGUCAGCUAGAGUACGGGAGAGGGGAGUGGAAUUCCAAGUGUAGCAGUGAAAUGCGUAGAGAUGUGGAGGAACACCGAUGGCGAAGGCAGCCCCCUGGGCCGAUACUGACGCUCAUGCACGAAAGCGUGGGUAGCAAACAGG